AUGUCCGGAGCUCCCUCGUGGAGCCACAGCGGCGACAGUGACAGUGACAGCGACAGCGACUCUGCAGAAGUGACGGCAGGAGUGGCUCAAACCGCUCAAAAAACCCGAAAAAGCUUCAAAAUCCUAAAGAAUUCAGCACAAAACCCCACAAAAUUCCAAAAAAAUCUUCAGAAAAUCCCAAAGAAUUCCCUGUCCGGAGUUCCCUCGUGGAGCCACAGCGGCGACAGCGACAGCGACAGCGACUCUGCAGAAGUGACGGCAGGAACGGUUCAAACCGCUCAAAAAACCCGAAAAAGCUUCAAAAUCCUACAGAAUUCCGCACAAAAUCCCACAAAAUUCCCUCCGAAAUGGCACAAAAUCCCACAAAAUUCCAUGUCCGGAGUUCCCUCGUGGAGCCUCAGCGGCGACAGUGACAGUGACAGCGACAGCGACAGCGACAGCCAGCCCGCAGUGACGGCAGGAACGGUUCAAACCGCUCAAAAAACCCGAAAAAGCAUCAAAAUCCUACAAAAUGCCCCAAAAUCCCCGCCCCGCCCCGCCCCCCGCCCCGCUUUUGUUGCUUUAUUUUGGGGUUUGGUCCCUUUUUUUUUACAGCUCCCCCCACUCCCAGUUCCCAUUCCCAGUUUCCAUUCCCAGUUCCCAUUCCCAGUUCCCCAAUCCCAUUCCCAGUUCCCAUUCCCAGUUCCCCCAAUCCCAUUCCCAGUUCCCAUUCCCAAUUUCCCCAGUUCCCAUUCCCAGUUUCCCCAAUCCCAUUCCCAGUUCCCCAAUCCCAUUCCCAGUUCCCCAAUCCCAUUCCCAGUUUCUAUUCCCAGUUUCCCAGUUCCCAAUCCCAUUCCCAGUUUCCCCAGUCCCCAUUCGCAGCCCCCCCACUGUCAUUGUCACUCGCUGUCACCCGCCCCGCCCCAAAAGCGGCUCUGCCCCUUUUUUGGGGUUUUUUGGGGCUUUUUGGGGUUUUUUUGGGGCCGGGAAUCGCGGUUGGGAACGAAGAGAAAAGAAAAAACGAACCCAAAACAAGGAAGGGAAAAAAAAAAGGGAAAAAAAGGAAAAAGGAAAAAAAGGAAAAAGGAAAAAAAGGAAAAAGGAAAUGGAAUAAAAUUGAGUUAA
RNAcentral lists this long non-coding RNA (1104 nucleotides) under Taeniopygia guttata (zebra finch). RNAcentral's name for it is "lncRNA (ENSTGUG00000022002.1)". Lineage: Eukaryota; Metazoa; Chordata; Aves; Passeriformes; Estrildidae. The record is from RNAcentral.